Molecule: ribosomal RNA, 621 nt
Filed under: uncultured Flavobacteriia bacterium
Lineage: Bacteria; Pseudomonadati; Bacteroidota; Flavobacteriia
Description: bacterial SSU rRNA
Rfam family: Bacterial small subunit ribosomal RNA
Source: RNAcentral
GCUAGCGGCAGGCCUAACACAUGCAAGUCGAGGGGCAGCACGAAAAAGCUUGCUUUUUUGGUGGCGACCGGCGCACGGGUGCGUAACGCGUAUGCAACCUACCCUGUACUGGGGGAUAGCCCGGAGAAAUUCGGAUUAACACCCCAUAGUAUUAUCGGAUGGCAUCAUUUGAUAAUUAAAGGUUACGGUACAGGAUGGGCAUGCGUCCUAUUAGCUAGAUGGUAAGGUAACGGCUUACCAUGGCUACGAUAGGUAGGGGGCCUGAGAGGGUGAUCCCCCACACUGGUACUGAGACACGGACCAGACUCCUACGGGAGGCAGCAGUGAGGAAUAUUGGUCAAUGGACGAAAGUCUGAACCAGCCAUGCCGCGUGCAGGAAGAAUGCCCUAUGGGUUGUAAACUGCUUUUAUUUGGGAAUAAACUCCGGUACGUGUACCGGCCUGAAUGUACCAAAUGAAUAAGCACCGGCUAACUCCGUGCCAGCAGCCGCGGUAAUACGGAGGGUGCAAGCGUUAUCCGGAAUCAUUGGGUUUAAAGGGUCCGCAGGCGGAUUUGUAAGUCAGUGGUGAAAGCCUACAGCUUAACUGUAGAACUGCCAUUGAUACUGCAAGUCUUGAAUUC